RNAcentral lists this ribosomal RNA (301 nucleotides) under uncultured bacterium. RNAcentral's name for it is "partial 16S ribosomal RNA". It matches the Rfam family "Bacterial small subunit ribosomal RNA", at positions 509 to 809 of the family's 1533-position model. The record is from RNAcentral.
CAGCAGCCACGGUAAUACGGAGGGAGCUAGCGUUGUUCGGAAUUACUGGGCGUAAAGCGCACGUAGGCGGUUAUUCAAGUCAGAGGUGAAAGCCCGGGGCUCAACCCCGGAACUGCCUUUGAAACUAGAUGACUGGAAUCUUGGAGAGGUCAGUGGAAUUCCGAGUGUAGAGGUGAAAUUCGUAGAUAUUCGGAAGAACACCAGUGGCGAAGGCGACUGACUGGACAAGUAUUGACGCUGAGGUGCGAAAGCGUGGGGAGCAAACAGGAUUAGAUACCCCCGUAGUCCCUGUCUCUUAUAU